Diospyros lotus (date-plum) is the source of this 2241-nucleotide RNA transcript. RefSeq lists it as uncharacterized. The record is from RefSeq and is a predicted model, not a curated record. Lineage: Eukaryota; Viridiplantae; Streptophyta; Magnoliopsida; Ericales; Ebenaceae. The transcript has 6 exons.
AGCAACUGCUCGUCCCAUUCUUGUUGCUUCAUUUCUUUAUUUAAUGUUCUUCGAGUAGACUAACACAUGACAUGCUCUCUGAAUAUAAUUUUACGGAGGAAAAUGGCUGGCGAGGGAAUACUCCCGCAAGAAACAGAAGAAUCGAGGCGUAGGGAGUGUGCUGAGCAUCGAAAAAAGUUGGGAGAGCGCCAUAGAAAUAGUGACAGUGGAUCUAAGAUUAGGGAGGUUGGUUUCCGUAUAGCAUUUUACGAGGCAGUGCGAGAGGGAGAGCUAAAUAAGGUGAAAGAGUUGCUUGAAAUUGACAGCUCGGUGCUUGGCACAAGAUUCACAGCAUUCGAAGCCAACGCUUUACAGGUCGCAGUGGUUGCUGGACAAAAAGAGAUUUUUCUCGAGUUAAUGAAAAAAGUCGAUGACCACGGUAUCUUGAAACAGAAGAACACGUACGGAGACACAAUACUUACUCUUGCAGUCGCCGAAGGCAGCAUCAAGAUUGUGAAGAAAUUGGUGCAUACAUGCGUUGAACUGGUGGACAUUCCCAAUAAAAAUGGAGACUUACCCGUCACUCUGGCUGCUUUAUCUGGAAAGAAGGAAAUUGUUUCCUUUCUGUUGGAUCUUACUCCAAUGUAUGAGUCGAAUCCAAGCUAUGGGGAUAUUGAAGGAGUGGUCGUGACUAAUUCAACUCAGUCAAGUGUGAAUGAUGAUGAAUUCAAGGCUCUCAAAGUGUCCAUGACCACUCAAGUCUUUGGACGUGAUGAGAGAAACUACAGCUUCAAGCUUGUUAAUGAAGAUAAGGAUGAAGCUUAUAAGCCUGCUUAUCAAAGCGAGUAUCAUUCUUUUAGGCUCUUCAAAGCAUGCAUCAGCUCCCAACUCUAUGAUCUAGCUUAUGAAGUUUUCGAGCUAUCUCCGAUACUCUGCAUCAAAGAAAUGGUCAAGGAGAAUGGUAAAACAAUAUAUCCACUAGCCCGGGUGUUUAUGAAACAACCAAGACGAAAACGGUUCGUGGAUUGGUGUUAUGAAUUCUAGUGCUGUUUUGGUUUCUGUAAAUGGAUUGUCUUCAAAGUUGGUGCGAACAACAAAGAAAAACCUGAGAUAGCUAGAAGGUUGUUGCGUGGGAUAUGCCGGGAGAUAUUGAAAUUAGAAAACCGUUCCCAAAUCAUACAAAGUGUGUUGACCAGACCAAUCUUAAUUGCCGUGGAACAAUAUAAUACGAGUUUCAUUGACACAAUUAGGGAAAUACACCGAGAUGCAUUGUGGGUUAUACUCGAUGAAUUAUUUGCUUCUGACAUGGCUCUUCCCAAAGAUCUCUCCCAAAUCUUCGUCUCUGCAUUGAGAAGUCCUGAAGCUGGCGUUUUAACAACCAUUUGGGCUAAUAGAAAUGGAAACACAAUCCUUCAUCAUGCCGCAUUGUUAUCAUCAACCAAGGAGCUUAGCCACUUUCCUAGUCCAUAUCUACAAAUGCAAAGCGAGAUAUACUGGUUUAAGAAUGUGGAGAAGAUGUUACCCAUGUACAAAGGAGUAGAAAACAAGGAUAACCUAAUUCCAAUGGAUUUAUUCGUACAAGAACACAGAAAGCUCAAAAAAGCCGGAGGGAAAUGGCUGAAGGAGACGGCAUCAUCUUGCUCGGUAGUGGCGACGCUUAUUAUCACUAUAAUGUUUAGUGCUGCAUUCACUGUUCCAGGCGGCUAUGACAACGAUACAGGCAUUCCCAUAAAUUUGGGAUCAAAAUACUUCACUAUCUUCAUAAUUUCAGAUGCAUUAUCUUUGUUCUCGUCCUGCACUUCGGCUAUGUUAUUCCUGGAAUUUAUACGUUGGACUUUCAAGACGAAGAUUUCCUGAUCAAGUUGCCCUUGACCUUGACAUUCGGCAUUUUCACUCUCUUCCUAUCUAUCGUAACAAUGGUGAUAGCUUUUAGCGCUGCCUUCUUCCUGACGCUGAGAGAGACCCUUGAGAGCAUGACCUUGCCGGUGUCCAUGUUAGCUAGCAUUCCAGUCAUCGUUUAUUCUACAUCGUACCUCUGGAUUUUCAUUCAUGAUUUUCGUUUGACCCUGCACCACCUAUUUAAUCGAUAAGUACACGUCAUGGUCGACUGCAAAUGGAAGAAAAACAAAUGGAUGUUCCUUUGUUUUCCUUAUUCAUUUUGUAUUUUUAACCAUGUCUCUCUUGUUUCCUGAGUUUCCCAUGUUAUUCUUAUGGUUUUGGAUGGUAAAAUACAUUUAUUUUCUUCUCCCAUAAGUAUUUUGU